UGAGGAAUAUUGGUCAAUGGGCGAGAGCCUGAACCAGCCAAAUCGCGUGAAGGAAGACUGCCUUAUGGGUUGUAAACUUCUUUUAUACAGGAAUAAAAAAGGGGACGUGUCCCUUAUUGCAUGUACUGUAUGAAUAAGCAUCGGCUAACUCCGUGCCAGCAGCCGCGGUAAUACGGAGGAUGCGAGCGUUAUCCGGAUUUAUUGGGUUUAAAGGGUGCGCAGGCGGGCUUUUAAGUCAGCGGUGAAAUCUCGGGGCUUAACUCCGAAACUGCCGUUGAAACUGGGAGUCUUGAGUAUGGAUGAAGUAGGCGGAAUUCGUUGUGUAGCGGUGACAUGCUUAGAUAUAACGAGGAACUCCGAUUGCGUAGGCAGCUUACUAAGCCAUAACUGACGCUCAAGCACGAAAGCGUGGGGAUCAAACAGGAUUAGAUACCCCUGGUAGUCCACGCCGUAAACGAUGAUUACUAGUUGUAUGCGAUAUACCGUAUGUGACUAAGCGAAAGCGAUAAGUAAUCCACCUGGGGAGUACGCCGGCAACGGUGAACUCAAAUGAAUUGACGGGGUCAUAGCUG
Molecule: ribosomal RNA, 572 nt
Filed under: uncultured bacterium
Lineage: Bacteria
Description: partial 16S ribosomal RNA
Rfam family: Bacterial small subunit ribosomal RNA
Source: RNAcentral